RNAcentral lists this ribosomal RNA (274 nucleotides) under uncultured bacterium. RNAcentral describes it as "partial 16S ribosomal RNA". It matches the Rfam family "Bacterial small subunit ribosomal RNA", at positions 523 to 796 of the family's 1533-position model. The record is from RNAcentral.
CUACGGAGGGUGCAAGCGUUGUUCGGAAUUAUUGGGCGUAAAGAGCAUGUAGGCGGACUGUUAAGUCUGGUGUGAAAGCCCGGGGCUCAACCCCGGAAGUGCAUUGGAUACUGGCAGUCUUGAGUAUGGGAGAGGAAAGUGGAAUUCCGAGUGUAGGAGUGAAAUCCGUAGAUAUUCGGAGGAACACCAGUGGCGAAGGCGGCUUUCUGGACCAAUACUGACGCUGAGAUGCGAAAGCGUGGGGAGCGAACAGGAUUAGAAACCCUAGUAGUCC